GCCCGCCUAGCUCAAUCGGAUAGAGCGUCAGACUCUUAUAGGGGGAAGCAUAACAUCCUGUGUAGGCGAUCUGAAGGCUGCGAGUUCGACCCUCGCGGUGGGCU
This is a transfer RNA of Moniliophthora roreri MCA 2997, 104 nucleotides long. It matches the Rfam family "tRNA". From Rfam's summary of the family: Transfer RNA (tRNA) molecules are approximately 80 nucleotides in length. Lineage: Eukaryota; Fungi; Basidiomycota; Agaricomycetes; Agaricales; Marasmiaceae. The record is from Rfam.